AAAACGCUCGUAGUCGGAGACUUAUUGGGCAUUAAGGCCAGCCAACCGGGGACACUUGAAAAACGCUCGCAUUUUACGGGAGGCUUGCCGAUGUGCUUUAGUGCACGCGGCGGUCUCCGGAUAGUUUACUUUGAAGAAAUUGGUGCGUUACAGGCAGAUGCGUGUCACUGACAUACUAGCAUGGAAUAAGAGCAACGUCCAUGGUGCGGCGUUGUGUGUUAUGUCGUUUUCGGAUGUCUAAUGAGGAUGGUUGAUGACAUUCGUAUUUAGCUAUCAGAGGUGAAAUUCUAGGACUUGUUAAAGGCGGACUACUGCAAAAGCAUUUGUCAAGAAUGUUUUUAUUGAUCAAGAACAAUAGUUAGGGGAUCGAAGAUGAUUAGAUACCGCCGUAGUCCUAACCGUAAACCAUGCCCACUAGAAGCUGGAAGUACCAAACCGUUGGUACCUCCAGAAACUUUACAGAAGUCAAAGUUUUCGGGUUCCGGGGGAAGUAUGGUCGCAAGUCUGAAACUUAAAGGAAUUGACGGAAGGACACCACCAGGAGUGGAGCCUGCGGCUUAAUUUGACUCAACACGGGAAACCUUACCAGGCCUCGACAUUGUGAGGAUUGACAGAUUGGCUGUUUUUUCAUAAUAUUAUGGGUGGUGGUGCA
RNAcentral lists this ribosomal RNA (652 nucleotides) under uncultured marine eukaryote. Its description in RNAcentral is "bacterial SSU rRNA". It matches the Rfam family "Eukaryotic small subunit ribosomal RNA", at positions 621 to 1284 of the family's 1831-position model. The record is from RNAcentral.